Long non-coding RNA from Pezoporus occidentalis (night parrot), 1257 nucleotides. RefSeq lists it as uncharacterized. The record is from RefSeq and is a predicted model, not a curated record. The transcript has 4 exons. NCBI's taxonomy places the organism in Eukaryota, Metazoa, Chordata, Aves, Psittaciformes, Psittacidae.
AGCCUGCCCCGCGCCGGGGCGGAGCCACCGCCGCCAUCUUUAAGAGGUCGUCGUCGGCAGGAGGACGCCAUCUUGGAGAGGUCGCAGGAGGCUGAGGCGCCGUCGCCAUCUUGGGAAGGUGGUAUUCUGAUGUCCUUAGCUGUGUGCUUUGCGUCAGCUUCUGUGUCUGCAGCUUCAGGAGUCAUUGCAACCUGGGCUGGGAAAACUUCCGUACCUUGCCUCUUUUUCCAAAGCUUCAGUGAGGCUGUGAGGCUGCUAGUUAAAGUUACAGCACGACAUUGGUUUUCCCACACGCUUUUACUCAGAAGGCUUAUAAAAUUGCCUGGGAGAAUUCCGGCCAGUGGGGCAGAGGGGAAUUGCACAACGCUCAGGGAAAAAGGGAGAGCCACUCUACACGCAACCUGGUCAAGGUCCUGCUGAAGACCAGAGGGGCCAAUUGAUGGACUUUGCUUUCUGGCACAGUGCUUGCAAGGAUUCCCCAGCUAGCACCUAUGCACGAUGAUACGCAUAUCUGGAUGAAGACAGACAUGCUGAGUCCAUCACUGUGAGCACCAGGCGGAACAUCCCAUCACUGGACUUCUUCCAGGCUGGGUGUCUGGAUGUCCGGCUGCCUCUCUGUCAGCAGACCCAAAGUCCUGCAUUUCCCUGUGCAAGAAUAACCUCUUCACAAACAUGGGUGACAGUGCAGCUAUGACACACAGUGCCAAGCAUGGGGCUUGCCCGAAGUGGCAAAGAGCUGUCUUGAUGCCUUGCACCAAUGAAAAAGUGGAUUGCCUGCAGCUACAGCACGUACCAGGAGCUGAACCACUGUCCCUCUGGCCAAUCCAUUACCCCUAUGGCACAUUGAAGGCAUUCAUACUCCCUUAUGAAUUUAAAGUAUAUUAUUUACCUACCUGACAUACUUGAGCUCUAAGUAUACUUUUAUGGGUAUCUGCUCUGCAUUUGGCACUCCUAGCUGGAGUUUGGGCCAAAUUCGGCCUGUGAGUAGAUUCAUUGCUGUCAUUUGGAUUUGUAGUGGCAGCAUUUGCCCAUUAUUGUGUUAUUUUAAUUCCCUCAAGAAUCUAAUGAAAAUUAAGUGAAAAAAUAAGGCUUUCUUUAUUCUAUUUUCAGAAUGAUGGAUUGAUAGAAGGACGGGCAACUUAUACUUGUAGGCUGAAGAUUUUAUGCAUAUAUACAUAACAGAUAUGGAGACAGAAUUUUUCCCUUAUGGCAAUGGAAUGGUUUUGAUAGUCUUCAUUAAAAUAGAUUUGAAAAUAC